This 500-nucleotide unclassified non-coding RNA is filed under the name uncultured Glomeromycotina. Its description in RNAcentral is "SSU rRNA". It matches the Rfam family "Eukaryotic small subunit ribosomal RNA", at positions 591 to 1092 of the family's 1831-position model. Lineage: Eukaryota; Fungi; Glomeromycota. The record is from RNAcentral.
CCAAUAGCGUAUAUUAAAGUUGUUGCAGUUAAAAAGCUCGUAGUUGAAUUUCGGGAUCAAUAUAUCGGUCGUGCCAUUGGUACGUACUGGUAUCAUUGGUUUCUCCUUUCUGACGAACCAUGAUGUCAUUAAUUUGGUGUUAUGGGAAGUUAGGACUGUUACUUUGAAAAAAUUAGAGUGUUUAAAGCAGGCUUUAGCUUGAAUACAUUAGCAUGGAAUAAUGAAAUAGGACGUUCGAACCUAUUUUGUUGGUUUCUAGGAUCAACGUAAUGAUUAAUAGGGAUAGUUGGGGGCAUUAGUAUUCAAUUGUCCGAGGUGAAAUUCUUGGAUUUAUUGAAGACUAACUACUGCGAAAGCAUUUGCCAAGGAUGUUUUCAUUAAUCAAGAACGAAAGUUAGGGGAUCGAAGACGAUCAGAUACCGUCGUAGUCUUAACCAUAAACUAUGCCGACUAGGGAUCGGAUGAUGUUAAUUUUUUAAUGACUCAUUCGGCGCCUUACG